RNAcentral lists this non-coding RNA (29 nucleotides) under Rattus norvegicus (Norway rat). Lineage: Eukaryota; Metazoa; Chordata; Mammalia; Rodentia; Muridae. The record is from RNAcentral.
GCAGACUACUGCAUAUUAUGUCAUGUGGA